Molecule: non-coding RNA, 3120 nt
Organism: Equus caballus (horse)
Lineage: Eukaryota; Metazoa; Chordata; Mammalia; Perissodactyla; Equidae
Source: RefSeq, a predicted model, not a curated record
UUCCCCUCCCCCGACCUGUGAUUCCUAAGGGACGUUGCUCUAUUGGGCUAUAGGUUAGGGAUCCUGCCAGGACCCUCGAAUCAGGCAGUCUCCACCAAACAACUGAACAGAAAGUAGAGGAGACAAGAGUCAGAGUUGAGGACUCUUGGGGACUUACGAGAUGGGCCUGACUCCUAAAAGCCCGGCUGUGGACACAGGCUGAGAGCUGUUGAGAGCUUGUCGCCUGGCAACAUGACACCAGCUCAUAACAGGAGUUGGCGGCUCUUCAUUUUCUCAGACUGCAGGAAGGUAUGAGGAAGCCAUCUUGGAUUUACUGAGAGAAGCUGUCACUCUCCACCGUGGUUGAACGUGAAGGAGAAGAGCAUCUUGUGUCACUGAAGAUAGUUGGGUUUGGAAGGGCAGGAAUAGGGCAAAUGGCUCUUUUGUCUACAACAGGGACUUGUAAUGUGACCUUUUGUACUUGGCAAUUACAGAAAAUAACUUUAUCCAGAAUGAAAAGGGGGGUGGUGGUUCUCCAAGAUUGAAAAUGGAAAACCAGCAGAUCUGAGAAAGAGAGAUUCCUUGGAGAAACAGAAAUGACAAUCAAAGUCCUAAAAAUGGAGAACUGCUGAGCCACUUUUGACAUAGUGUUUUCAGGGGCAGCAGGAGCCUUGGGCUGUGGCUUUGAGAGGGAACUGAAGGCAAGGAGGCCCUGUAAACAUCAGCCUGAAAGGAGGACUGUGGUUGAGGACCGGUUCUCCAUCUUUGCUUCCAAGCCUAGAUAUCUAGGCUCUCUCAUGACAUACUCACCAAACGCUUCCUUGUAUCUGUAGCAGGAGACAAGUCCAAGUAACCUCAACCUUGGAGAUGAGAUGACCUGUGAAGACUGAACAAAGCAUAUGGUGUGUUUUAAAACACCUCUAGGCACGUGAAUCCUCAUGGAGGGAAAGGGAGUCAGAGCUUAUAGGCGGAUGAACUGUUAGGCUCAACAGCCUCUGGAGACUAGAUGGUAACCUCAGAGUCACUGUGUAGGGCCUGAAAGUGAGAGCUAACUGCUGCAAACUUGGGAGCUCCUCUAGGCUAACUCCGUCUCAGAGAAUGAGAUCCUCCAUCCACAAUGUCCUGGGAAGAAUCGGCAUCUCCAUAUAGUACGGGUUCUCAAUAGUGACACCAUGUGGCAGUGAGAGGAAAAGCAGCCUUGACUGAAGUCUCCAGUAUUCUCUCUAACGUAAAAGUUGGAUCGAUCCCUUCCUUUCAACUACAUCAGCUACGUGGUAUUUGAUAAUUCAUGAGGAAAACAUAACCUUGAGAACUGAGAUGGCUGAUAGUAAGGUGGACGGGAUCUUACGUUGUUUACUAGAAAAUAAAAGAUGCGAUCAUACCGUCCUCCCUCACUCGUGAAAGAGUUCAUAGGUUUGUUGUAGGGACCAAAUGAAAUAACUGAUGCAGAAGUUUCUUGAAAAGAACAAAAUAAAAUAAUAACAAUGGCCAUAAAGUUAUCAUAGGUAGUACAUGUUACAAUUAUUAUAGGCUGGCAAUUUGAUGUCAGACAAAUUAACUGCCCUAGGCAACUGUUGUCCUUGUCUCACUUUGUGCUUUUUAAAUUUCCAUAUCUGGAGGACUCUCAUUAUGUGGAAUGUGUGCCUGCAAAAGAUAUGUGCAAGUCCUAACCCCCAAUACUUGUGAAUGUGACUUUAUUUGGAAAUAGGAUCUUGGCAGCUAUAAUCAAGUGAAGGUGAGGUCAUUAGAGUGGGCCCUAGUCCAAUAUGACUACUGUCGUUAUGAGAAGAGGAGAGGAGACACAGACAAAAACACACAGGGGAAUGCUGUGUGAUGAUGGGAGUUAUGCUGCUGCAAGCAGAGGAAUGUGGCAGCUACCAGGAGAUAGAAGAGACAAGGAAAGAUCUUCCCCUAGAGGAGUCAGAGGGAGCACAGCUCCGCCAACAACUUGAUUUCAGACUUCCGGCCUCCAGAAGUGUGGGAGAAUAAAUUUCUGUUGCUUUAAGCCACCAAGUUUGUGGUGUUUUGUUAAAGCAGCCCUAGAAAAUUAAUACAAGGACUAAUCAAUUAAAAAUGGAGAAUUUGCUUGUCACUCAGAGAGAACGGUGUAAAGAAAAUACAGACAGGGUACUGAUAAAUGUAAAAAAUAAAGACUUUGACCUGUAGCUUGAAGUUAACAAAUGAGUUUAAUCAAGACUGGAAUCUCUUUGGAGAAGGUACAAAUGGUAGCUUCUAGGAUAGUUAAAGGAGCUCAAUAGAUGAGAUUCCUUCCAGGCCUUUGAGGGGAAUGGAGAUGGGACAUUGCUCAAUUUCUGUGUUCCUCAAGACACCCUACUCUUCCCAUCUUCCCCUGGCUCCUUUUUUCCUCCUCUCCUCUUCUCUCUCUUCCCUCUUGACCAGUAACCUCGGCAAAACUUUUUCUUUCUUUCCAGUAUCUCUAAUAGAGUACUGAAGUGAGAAAGCUAGUUAAAAAGUCUUGCUCGCUGAAAGAUGGCCAACAACUUCCUAGAAAGCUGUCCUGGGACCCUGCUCACCUUGGGAACCGGCUUUUCCCCUGAAGUGUAAACAAAGUCCCGAGACUCAAGGGAUAGCCUGGAACUUCAACUACGAAGCUGAGUCCCGUGUUGUUUCUCAAAGUUAGCUGAUGAAUAUACUAGAGAGUUAGUGUCUUUCCCUGAGGAAGCACCUAGUUCCGAGCGUGGACGCAUUGAACAGAAAGGGAGUUGAGUCACAGGGGCGUCUGUGCCCAGCUUGUUCUUCUCAGGAAGGAGAUUUGAACCACGUCAAUGAAGGAAACAUGGAACCUCGUGGAACAACACAUAAACCUCUCACCCUGAAACACUCGUCCUCCUCACAAAGCUGCUACUCGGAAGUGAGAGGGGAAUCUCUGAGGGAGGGGAAAGCUGAGACACCCAGUCCUGAGGCCUGAGAUGGAAACACCAGCAAAGGAAUCUUUGGAAUUAGUUUCCUCGCACCACAAAGCCAGUGUAACUUGGACUUUUUGUUUUCAUUCCUCGAAAAUGGUGACUUUUGAAGAGUCUGAGCAAUAAGAAAUGAGAGGAGGAAGAACUUAGUGGUGACUAACAGGUUAUUCAACUCCUCUGUCUUAACAACCAAAAUAAAAUUAUAAUAAUGCCUGAA